GGAAAUCUCGUUAGGAAUCUCUUCAACAUCAUCUUCCUCUGCCUCGAAUACAGGGAAUUCAAAAUUGGGAGAUGGCGUUGGAUCAUUAUGUUCAAUGGGUUUGAUUAACAACCUGCAUAAUGAUUUUGAUAUAAAAAGCUUUUUAGAAAAUAAACAAGACAAUCAUUAUGCAGAUGAAAAGAUUGCUUUUAUUCUUGUUUUUA
RNAcentral lists this long non-coding RNA (203 nucleotides) under Lathyrus oleraceus (garden pea). Its description in RNAcentral is "Pisum sativum (pea) long non-coding RNA (PSAT_LNC001573)". The record is from RNAcentral. Lineage: Eukaryota; Viridiplantae; Streptophyta; Magnoliopsida; Fabales; Fabaceae.